RNAcentral lists this ribosomal RNA (489 nucleotides) under uncultured bacterium. RNAcentral describes it as "partial 16S ribosomal RNA". It matches the Rfam family "Bacterial small subunit ribosomal RNA", at positions 29 to 507 of the family's 1533-position model. The record is from RNAcentral.
AGUGAACGCUGGCGGCAGGCCUAACACAUGCAAGUCGAACGGCAGCACAAGAGAGCUUGCUCUCUGGGUGGCGAGUGGCGGACGGGUGAGGAUGCAUCGGAAUCUGCCCAUUUGUGGGGGAUAACCUCGGGAAACCGGGACUAAUACCGCAUACGACCUACGGGUGAAAGCAGGGGAUCUUCGGACCUUGCGCAGAUGGAUGAGCCGAUGCCGGAUUAGCUAGUUGGAGGGGUAAAGGCCCACCAAGGCGACGAUCCGUAGCUGGUCUGAGAGGAUGAUCAGCCACACUGGGACUGAGACACGGCCCAGACUCCUACGGGAGGCAGCAGUGGGGAAUAUUGGACAAUGGGCGCAAGCCUGAUCCAGCCAUGCCGCGUGUGUGAAGAAGGCCUUCGGGUUGUAAAGCACUUUUGUUGGGAAAGAAAAGCAGCCGGUUAAUACCCGGUUGUCAUGACGGUACCCAAAGAAUAAGCACCGGCUAACUUCGUG